CAGAGAACAUCGCCCUCACGGGUGACUCUCCAACCCUAUGUUAUACAACCUUUGUUGCUUUGGCGAGCCGCUUCGGCCGCUGGCUUCGGCUAGCGAGUGCUCGCCAGAGGACCCAAAACCCUGAUUAUUAGUGUCGUCUGAGUACUAUAUAAUAGUUA
This 158-nucleotide unclassified non-coding RNA is filed under the name uncultured Phialophora. RNAcentral describes it as "sequence contains ITS1". Lineage: Eukaryota; Fungi; Ascomycota; Leotiomycetes. The record is from RNAcentral.